Molecule: long non-coding RNA, 1262 nt
Organism: Cyprinus carpio carpio
Lineage: Eukaryota; Metazoa; Chordata; Actinopteri; Cypriniformes; Cyprinidae
Source: Ensembl
AUAUAUCGCCCAGCCCUAGUUUGAACUUAAAAACAUCUUGAUGGAUUUGUUUCUUACAAACAUGCAUUUUUCACUUCACAAGAUGUUAAUUGAUGUACUAGAGUGGUGUGGAUUUUUUAUUUAUUUUGGAGUUUAUCAUCUGUUUGGACUGUCAUUCUGACGGCACCCAUUCACUGCAGAGGAACCAUUGACUUCAUUGUGUCCAGACCACCGCGGUUCAAAGCUAAGGAUUUUGAUUCCAAGCACGAAUAAACGGCAAAAGUUUGAGUCCCACAGGUUCUUACGCCUUGACUUCUCUUAUACCUCGCAGCAGUGUUUGCACAUUCUGGACAGACCUCACAUCCAUAAACAACAGUGUGCUGUGCAACAAAUUCAGGGUUUUUCAGCCAGGUUUGCAUUGGGAGGUUAACUUGGACGGCUCACAUGUGAAGUUGUGAAGGAGGUCAAGAUGACGGAAAUCAACAAUGUCAGAUCAUCUUGAGAAUCCGGUAGAGUCAGACCAACUGCAGAACGAGUCCUCGCCAGUUCUCUCAGCCACCCUCCCUUUCCUCGUUCUCAUUUCAUUGCCAGGUAGCUCAUGGCACGGCAUGAUGCUGUGUAAGCUCCAUCUGUUUGGCGCGCGGCUGGUGACAAACUGCGAGAGAGGAGGCCUAGUCAGUCGCUGUGGAUUGCAUUGCGGUGGAACCAAUCGGCACCUUCCCACAUGGCCCAAAGAGAAAGCCCCCCGGGAAACCCUUCAACACGGCCAGCCUACAACCCAGCACACAAUUUGUGCUCCACCAAAUAUGAAGCCAACUUUCUACCAACCCUGACUUCACCCUUGAUCAGUACAAAACAAAAAAUGAGGGCAGCAGAAAAUGAAAUAAAAAUGAAGGAUUUGAGAGAUCAAAGCGUUAAAAGAGUAGUUCAGCCAAAAAUAAUAAUAAAAAAAAGUCUGGUAUUAUUUACUCAUGUUGUCCCAAAUUCAACUGCUGUUAUUCAUUUAUUUAUUUAUGGAACAUACACAUAUAUAUAUUAUUUUGACAAAAUUAAUAGAAGGACUCCUAUCACAGAAAGAUACAAAACAAAUUUUUGAACAUUUAUGUUUUUGGUUCCUCGCUGGUUUAACAACCUUCCCAUCCUUAUCCAGGCAGCCGAAUCCCUCACAAUAUUCAAGAAAUGACUAAAAACUAAUCUUUUUACUGAGGGAACUUAAAUGCAUCCCACUGAUGUUUACUCUUUGUUGUACUCCUCAUUUGUUAGUCAGUUUAGAUAAAAGUGCC